RNAcentral lists this ribosomal RNA (490 nucleotides) under uncultured bacterium. Its description in RNAcentral is "partial 16S ribosomal RNA". It matches the Rfam family "Bacterial small subunit ribosomal RNA", at positions 30 to 507 of the family's 1533-position model. The record is from RNAcentral.
AUUGAACGCUGGCGGCAGGCCUAACACAUGCAAGUCGAACGGUAACAGGAAGAAGCUUGCUUCUUUGCUGACGAGUGGCGGACGGGUGAGUAAUGUCUGGGAAACUGCCUGAUGGAGGGGGAUAACUACUGGAAACGGUAGCUAAUACCGCAUAACGUCGCAAGACCAAAGAGGGGGACCUUCGGGCCUCUUGCCAUCGGAUGUGCCCAGAUGGGAUUAGCUAGUAGGUGGGGUAACGGCUCACCUAGGCGACGAUCCCUAGCUGGUCUGAGAGGAUGACCAGCAACACUGGAACUGAGACACGGUCCAGACUCCUACGGGAGGCAGCAGUGGGGAAUAUUGCACAAAGGGCGCAAGCCUGAUGCAGCCAUGCCGCGUGUAUGAAGAAGGCCUUCGGGUUGUAAAGUACUUUAAGCGGGGAGGAAGGGAGUAAAGUUAAUACCUUUGCUCAUUGACGUUACCCGCAGAAGAAGCACCGGCUAACUCCGUG